AGUGAACGCUGGCGGCAGGCCUAACACAUGCAAGUCGAGCGGCAGCGCGGGGGCAACCCUGGCGGCGAGCGGCGGACGGGUGAGGAAUUCGUCGGAAUCUGCCUUUUUGUGGGGGAUAACGUAGGGAAACUUACGCUAAUACCGCAUACGUCCUACGGGAGAAAGUGGGGGACCGCAAGGCCUCACGCAGAAAGAUGAGCCGACGACCGAUUAGCUAGUUGGUGGGGUAAAGGCCCACCAAGGCGACGAUCGGUAGCUGGUCUGAGAGGAUGAUCAGCCACACUGGGACUGAGACACGGCCCAGACUCCUACGGGAGGCAGAAGUGGGGAAUAUUGGACAAUGGGCGCAAGCCUGCUCCAGCCAUGCCGCGUGUGUGAAGAAGGCCUUCGGGUUGUAAAGCACUUUUGUCCGGAAAGACAUCCCUGGAGCUAAUACCUUCGGGGGAUGACGGUACCGGAAGAAUAAGCACCGGCUAACUUCGUG
RNAcentral lists this ribosomal RNA (484 nucleotides) under uncultured bacterium. RNAcentral describes it as "partial 16S ribosomal RNA". It matches the Rfam family "Bacterial small subunit ribosomal RNA", at positions 29 to 507 of the family's 1533-position model. The record is from RNAcentral.